CAUAUACUCCCUCCGUUCUGAAUUACUUGUCUUAGAUUUGUCUAGAUACAAAUGUACUAGAUACAUUUGUAUCUAGACAAAUCCAAGACAAGUAAUUCAGAACGGAGGGAGUACAUA
Molecule: non-coding RNA, 117 nt
Organism: Triticum aestivum (bread wheat)
Lineage: Eukaryota; Viridiplantae; Streptophyta; Magnoliopsida; Poales; Poaceae
Source: Rfam